UUUGUUUAUUAUGAGCACUGUGGAGAAGAUCCAAGAUUGAUUAUCGUCACGAUGCAGCCAUGUAUGACGAUCUAUGCUGAGUCUAUGUAGAGGUUCUCCACGGAAAUAAUCCCUCCAGUCGACUGCACUGCUGCAACAACGUGCGCCUGGGGGAAUCAGUUUAACCGAACAGGAGCUUGACAAGGCCCAGGUGCUGUGAUCAGAAAUGGGGAAUGGUGGUGAAGAAGGUCCCGAGGUCCUCAAGAUCCUCGCAGUCUAAGCGGAUAGUGCUAUGUGCCGUCAACUAAAAGGACUGCAGACAGACGCUCUAACACACAGAGCCAUAAAUCAGGAAGGGACCAGGCUCGUGUUCACUGGCGGCGAUGAGAGCGCUGUGUAGAGGAGGGCGAAGGAGGAGAGGCCAGGAAGCGGGCGCUCCCCACACCCCAGGCCGAGGAUGGGUUCUCACCACCAACACAGGCGGCAGCAGAAAAAAUGCCCUUCUUCAAGAAAUCAAAUAAGAGCAAAUGCUGGCCAGGCUUCUGUG
RNAcentral lists this long non-coding RNA (526 nucleotides) under Heterocephalus glaber (naked mole-rat). RNAcentral describes it as "lncRNA (ENSHGLG00000048022.1)". Lineage: Eukaryota; Metazoa; Chordata; Mammalia; Rodentia; Bathyergidae. The record is from RNAcentral.